AUACGGAGGGUGCAAGCGUUGUCCGGAUUUAUUAGGUUUAAAGGGUGUGUAGGCGGUAUUUUAAGUCAGUGGUGAAAUCUCGGAGCUUAACUUCGAAACUACCAUUGAUACUGGAAUACUUGAGUAUAGUUGAGGUAGGCGGAAUAUGUAAUGUAGCGGUGAAAUGCAUAGAUAUUACAUAGAACACCGAUUGCGAAGGCAGCUUACUAAACUAUUACUGACGCUGAUGCACGAAAGCGUGGGGAGCGAACAGGAUUAGAAACCCUAGUAGUCC
This 274-nucleotide ribosomal RNA is filed under the name uncultured bacterium. RNAcentral describes it as "partial 16S ribosomal RNA". It matches the Rfam family "Bacterial small subunit ribosomal RNA", at positions 523 to 796 of the family's 1533-position model. The record is from RNAcentral.